RNAcentral lists this ribosomal RNA (255 nucleotides) under uncultured bacterium. RNAcentral's name for it is "partial 16S ribosomal RNA". It matches the Rfam family "Bacterial small subunit ribosomal RNA", at positions 522 to 776 of the family's 1533-position model. The record is from RNAcentral.
UAACGGAAGGGGGCUAGCGUUGCUCGGAAUCGACUGGACGUAAGCGCACGUAGGCGGCUUUUUAAGUCAGGGGUGAAAUCCUGGAGCUCAACUCCAGAACUGCCUUUGAUACUGAGAAGCUUGAGUCCGGGAGAGGUGAGUGGAACUGCGAGUGUAGAGGUGAAAUUCGUAGAUAUUCGCAAGAACACCAGUGGCGAAGGCGGCUCACUGGCCCGGUACUGACGCUGAGGUGCGAAAGCGUGGGGAGCAAACAGG